This 16827-nucleotide long non-coding RNA is filed under the name Brassica napus (rape). Its description in RNAcentral is "long non-coding RNA (BNAP_LNC011975)". The record is from RNAcentral. Lineage: Eukaryota; Viridiplantae; Streptophyta; Magnoliopsida; Brassicales; Brassicaceae.
GUUAAUUGUUUUGGAUGCAGCAUUAUUCGUUGCCGCUAGGACCAAUCCUGAUAGACUAGUUGCAGUUUUGCUUUGCGGAUCUUGUUCAAGUGAUUGGAUGCAAAAAUCAUACUUGAGAUUAGGGUCUUUUGCUGCAGCUGUUUUGCAGGAAUCUCGAAUCAAGGUUUGCGCGGCUGCGAAACAGUUUAGGAGGAGAAAGAACAUUACAACUGAAACGAAGAACUUCAUGCUUUUGUUUUCUUUGUGAGAGAUGAGAAUAUAUGAAUAUGAUGUUAACUUUGUGAUUCACGAGGCUGAUAUAUAUAUAUAUAUAUCUGACGUAAGGGUAUAUGUCAUUGUUUCCCGUUUUCUUGUGUGUUAUAAACUUAUUAUAAAAAGAAUAUUUCAGUUUUAGUAAGAAGAUACUAUUUCAUAUUAAAAACUCUGUUUACAUUUUUAAAAACUAUAAUAUAUUCACUUGGAUUAUUUCUCAAAUUGUCAAUUUAUCUGAACAUGGUCAACAUGUAACAGUAGUUUUCCAUAUAUACACGUCGUCAGAUUUAGUCAACUCUCAGAGCAUCAUUACUGGUUCAAUUUCUUAGUGGAGUACCUGAUGAGUUUAAUAUUAAUAGAGUUUUAUUGUGUAAUUAAAAUUAAAACCAAUAAUAUGUACAUAACCAUUCGUAAAGUAACAUGUGGCAAGAUGGAUUGUGUUGUACGUUUAUGAAAGCUUUCUAUUUUAUGAUCUCUAAGCUGGAGUUUUGAUGUUCUUUCUGGUCUUUUUAUUGUUGUAUCUGGUGAUGAUAUGAUACAAAAAGCCAAGAGGUAUGGGAUCUGCAUGUUUUCAAAUAGUGCAUAGGAAAAAACAGAGGUUCAGACAAGAGCUACAAGAAGGCUCACCUAAGAAAUAUAAGCCUUUGGCCGGAGCUUCUCACGCCAAAGGACUCGUCCUUGAGCUCAUGUAAGACAUAGAAUAUGCUUCUUUAUCUAUUUUUUUUGUGUGUGUGGACAUUGUUGAUGAUGAGCGAUUCUCUGUCUGUUUGAUUAUGCAGAGGAAUGUAGGCUAAGCAGCCAUGUUCUGGUAUAUGUAAGUGUACUAGAGUACAACUUGUCAAGAAUGGAAAGAAGAUUGCUGCUUUUGUCCCCAACGAUGGUUGUUUGAACCUCAUUGAGCCAAAUGUAAGCUGAAUGAAUAAAGCCUUUUGUAACCAUUUAUGAUUAGUUUUGUCAAAGGUUGAAUUCAUGUUUUGUGUUAUGUUGUUUGCAGGACGAGGUUUGAUAUCUGGAUUUGGGCGUAAGAGUCAUACUGUGGGAGAUAUUCCAGGCGUAAGGUACAAGGUCGUCAAGGUUUCUGGUGUUUUACUCUCUGCUCUCUACAAGGACAAGAAGGAGAAGCCAAGGUCUUAAAACAAAACCUUCAAAGCUUUGAAUUUUAUUUUUGAUGGCAUAAGCACUUUUCAGUAUUUUAGUUAAAUAAAAGAACUCUUGUGUUAUGUUCUACUUUGGGAUUCAGUAACUUGGUGUGUUAAAUCUUGUAUUCUGAUGACCAUUUGAGUUUUUAGUUUAUUCGACCUUAUAAUAUGUCACUGCCAAUGGCAUGGAAUUCUAUUACUAAUCCAAAACAAGUGAUACAUAUCACUACAUAAUGUACUCAUUCGUAAUCCUGGCAAUUAUAAGUCAUAAAGAUAAACAAAAGUCACACAGCCAGCUUACAAAUUGAAUAAGGUAGCCAAACAAGUUUAAGAUCACAUCAGUGACCAAUCAAAACAGACCAGAAACUAAACAGACCAUAUCUAAUAUACAUAAAUAAUUUUAUAAUCAAUUAUACAUUUUAACUCAUACAAAAUUUUAACAAUAAUCUAUUGUAAAAAUUAAAUUUAGUAAAACAUAAGAUAAUCCACUAAAAUAUAUAAAAUUAAGCAAAAAAAUUAUGUAAAUUUAUUUACAAGUUUGUUUCUUUUCUACUAACAAUAAAAAAAAAGAACAGGAUGGGUUUUUUUUAUCAUCCAACUACAGAAAAUCACAAAAUAAAUGAUGUAAUGCCACAUCAAAUUCUUAAUAUAUAAUUAAAACAUAGAUUACUUACCAAAAGAAAAUCAUCUUGAACCUUUUAACAAGAAAAAAAAAAUUCAAAAAUUUAAAAAAUCAUAACUAAUUUUUCAGAUAACAUGGUUUAUUUAGUUGUUCAUAUACAAUAACAUGCACAAAAUUUAACUAUUAUGUAUAUUUCUAAAUAAUAAAAAUUUAUAUUAAAUAUUUACUCUAGUUACUUAAUUUAUUUGUUAAUUUUCAUCCCGCAUUUAGGGCGGACCAGCCCUAGUAUAAUUAUAACAUACUGUAUUGAUUUUUUCCGCUAAGACAGUGGAGUAUUUAAAUUUUCUUUUUUUUGCAGAUAUUAUUUUUAGGGUCUUUUUGAAAAAAAAAUUUUCAAAUAAUAGCAAAUAUUUCCAAUGGAAUAAUUUUCCUUUGCUCUUAAAUUUAUUAUUAGGUAAACGAAAAUCCACAUUACAUAAUGCAAGAACUUAUGGUAAUUUCAUCAGAGCAUAUUGGUAAAAGCUAAAGGAAUCAAAAUCUUCUGAAACAAAACAUUGUUCUCGUUUGUAACGGGAGAUUUAGCGUGCUUCUCUUUGAAACCAUCUUCACAAGUGACAGGUUCAUCCAAAGCAGCACUCAGAUGCAUAUUAGCACUUUUGUAAUCACUGGAUUUAACGUUCAUCAAAGCUUCUUUUAAAGAACCAUAAGCAUCGUCAUAAAGCUUUACGCAAGUGCGUAACGCGGGUUCAGUACUCGGUGCAUACUUUUUGCUCUUGAGAAUAGUCUCAACUAUCCCUUUCACGUUAAUUGUUUUGGAUGCAGCAUUAUUCGUUGCCGCUAGGACCAAUCCUGAUAGACUAGUUGCAGUUUUGCUUUGCGGAUCUUGUUCAAGUGAUUGGAUGCAAAAAUCAUACUUGAGAUUAGGGUCUUUUGCUGCAGCUGUUUUGCAGGAAUCUCGAAUCAAGGUUUGCGCGGCUGCGAAACAGUUUAGGAGGAGAAAGAACAUUACAACUGAAACGAAGAACUUCAUGCUUUUGUUUUCUUUGUGAGAGAUGAGAAUAUAUGAAUAUGAUGUUAACUUUGUGAUUCACGAGGCUGAUAUAUAUAUAUAUAUAUCUGACGUAAGGGUAUAUGUCAUUGUUUCCCGUUUUCUUGUGUGUUAUAAACUUAUUAUAAAAAGAAUAUUUCAGUUUUAGUAAGAAGAUACUAUUUCAUAUUAAAAACUCUGUUUACAUUUUUAAAAACUAUAAUAUAUUCACUUGGAUUAUUUCUCAAAUUGUCAAUUUAUCUGAACAUGGUCAACAUGUAACAGUAGUUUUCCAUAUAUACACGUCGUCAGAUUUAGUCAACUCUCAGAGCAUCAUUACUGGUUCAAUUUCUUAGUGGAGUACCUGAUGAGUUUAAUAUUAAUAGAGUUUUAUUGUGUAAUUAAAAUUAAAACCAAUAAUAUGUACAUAACCAUUCGUAAAGUAACAUGUGGCAAAGUCUAUGUGCGACCAGACGUUUCUUCCCAUUUGACGCUCUCUCUCUUGCUUUAUUAAUUUUUUAUUAUUAUAAAUGUCAGUCUCAUGAGUUACUCUUCCACUGCAUGUGCUCUUAGCUUUCCAUAUCAUACAUAAAAUAUCAAAAAUGAGAUCUCUUCUACAGUUAUUAAAAAACAAAAAUAUACCUUUUAAUAUUGAUUUUCUCAAAAUCAUAUUUGAGAUUAGGGUCUUUUGCUGCAGCCGUUUUGCAAGAAUCUCGAAUCAAGGUUUGCGCGGCAGCGAAACAGUUUAAGAGUAGAAAAAACAUUACAACUGAAACGAAGAACUUCAUGCUUUUGUUUUCUUUGUUAGAGAUGAGAAGAGAUGACUACGAUGUUAACUUUGUGAUUCACGAGGCUGUUAUAUAUAUAUAUAUAUAUAUCUGAUGUAAGGGUAUAUAUUCUCCUUUCUUAUAUGUCAUUAUUUCCUGUUUUCUUGUUUGUUAUGAACUUAUCAUAAAAAAAAUAUUUCAGUUUUAAUAAGAAUAUACUAUUCCAUAUUAAGAACUCGAUUUAAAUUUUUAAAAAAUCAUAAUAUAUUCACUUUUAAGGAUUAUUUCUCAAAUUGUAAAAAUUUAUCUGAACUUGGUCAACAGGUAACAAUAGCUUUCCAUAUAUACACGUCAGAUUUAGUCAACUUUUAGACCAUCAUUAACCGGGGGUCUUAGCAAUAGGGUCCUUAGCAAAAACUAAUAAAAUAUUGGGUGGGUCUCACUAAUUUUUAAAAAUCGGGUCCCUAAGGUUGUGAUAUAAGGACAGACCUUCACUUGUUUUUUUUUUUGGUCUGGUAAAAAAAAAAAUUAGAAGGCGAACCAAAAAUAUAAAAAAAAAUGAGAUGUCUUCUACAAUUAUUAAAAAAACAAAAAUAUACCUUUUAAUAUUGAUUUUCUCAUCAAUUUUUCAUAUAGAGGUCGGCAUGCAAAAAUCCUAAAUCAAAAAAUGUGUAUUUACUAAAUAUUUAACUAACAUCUGUAUCAGGAAAAACUUUCAAUCUCAUUAUUUAUUCAUCACGCAAAAAAAUGAUCAGUACUACUCGUAAAAAACAGUGAUGUUGUGCAUUUUUAAAAAUAAAUAUUUAAUUAUUAAAAAAAUACAGACACUAUAGAAAAUUAAAUAAAAGUUUAAUUCCACAAAAACAAAAAAAAAUUGAAAAUUAAAAAAUAAAUCAAAAUAUUCAAACAAUUUUUCAAUAAGUAAAAAAAAGAUUGAAAACUGAAAAAGUUACAGAGAUAUUUUAAUUUUGAAAUUUGGCUAGAACCGAUAUGAACCAUCAUCAUUUUUUUUUAAAUAGGCCUAAAACAGUUUUAAUGAUUAACUAAAUUGGCUAUGUUGAAAACCGUCAACUCAUCGAUUUGUCAACGAUGUUAAGUCGAAAAUUGUGAUCAGAGACAUAAAGUAUUUUAAAUUUCUGUCUUUUUGCAAAUACUAUUUUAGUGUUUUAUAAUUUCAAAUAGUAGCAAAAAUUUCCAAUAAAAUAAAGUUCCUUUGCUAUUAUUUAUUAUUAGAUAAAGGAAAAUUCAUAGCACAUAAUACAAAAAGUUAUGGUAAUUUCAUCAGAGCAUAUUUGUAAAAGCUAAAGGAAUCAAAAUCUUCUGAAACAAAACAUUGUUCUCGUUUGUAACGGGAGAUUUCGCGUGCUUCUCUUUGAAACCAUCUUCACAAGUGCCCGGUUCAUCCAAAGCAGCACUCAGAUCCACAUUAGCACUUUUGUAAUCGCCGGAUUUAACGUUCAUCAAAGCUUCAUUUAAAGAAUUAUUAGCAUCGUCAUAAAGCUCUACGCAAGUGCUUAACGCAGGUUCAGUACCCGGUGGAUACGUUUUGCUCUUGAGAAUAGUCUCAACUAUCCCUUUCACGUUAGUUGUUUUGGACUCAGCGUUAGUAGUUGAUGCUAAGACCAAUCCUUUUAGACUAGUUGCGGUUUUGCUCUGUGGAUCUUGUUCAAGAGAUUGGACGCAAAAAUCAUAUUUGAGAGUAGGAUCUUUUGCUGCAGCUGUUUUGCAAGAAUCUCGAAUAAGAGUUUGCGCGGUAGCGAAACAGUUUAAGAAGAGAAAGAACAAUGCAACUGAAACGAAGAACUUCAUGUUUUAUUUUCGUUGUGAGAGAUGAGGAUUGAUGAAUAUGAUGUUUAGUUUUUGAUUCACAAGGAUGUUGUAUAUAUAUAUGUCGUAAGGGAUGUUAACAUAUUCACUUUUAAGGAUUAUUUCUCAAAUAAUCAAUUUAUUUUAACUUGGUUACAUGCAAUAUAUGCUUUCCAUAUGUACGCUUUAGAUUUAGUCAACUCAUUUUGAUGUGUUUCCAUAUCAUACAUACAAAUAUCAAAAAUGAGAUCUCUUGCCGUUUUCACCAACAUUUUAAUUAUUAAAAACAAAUAUUCACCUUUUAGUAUUGACUUUCUUAGAUUAUUGGUAUUUAUGGGCAUUUGGUUCAGUUUUUGUUUUUUUUUCGGUUCUAUAGGUUUAGGAUCUUUGCAGUAUUUAGGAAAUUCUGUUUGGUUUCAAUUCAUUAUUUCAAUUUGCGGUUCGUUCGGAUAACAAAGUUAGGAACCGGCUAAUAUCCAAGUUAAUUUUGGAUAUCAUUUGGUUCAAUUUUUGUUCUAGUUUUUUGUCAAUUCGGAUUAAAAAGUAGAAAUUCGGAUUUUUGAAUUAAAUAUCAGAUAUUUCAGGUUUUUGGAUAAAAAUUUGGAUAAUUUUAAAUAUUUCAAAAAUGUAUUAUGGAAUUCAUUUUUUUAGGAUAUUUUGGUUUAUAAAUAAUAUUUUCAAAUUAUUUGAUCAUUUGAAAACUAAAUAUAGUUAAUAUUUAGAAGUAUGUAAACUAUAUACAUAUUAUAGAAAUUCAUGUAUCUAUUCGAUUUCGGUUCGGUUUUGAUUUUUCAGUUUUAAAAAUUUAGGAUCCAUUCAGAUAAUUGAUAAGAUAAAAAUCUGAAUUGAAUCUUGUUUUUCGUUUCGGUUAUGUUUGAUUCGUCGGUUCCAGAUAAAUGUGUUCAAAUGAGUGGCGUGCAAACAUCUUGACUCAAAGUGUGUGCAUUUACUACACAAUUAUGUAGAAACAUUUUUUAAAGCAAAGUUUCAAAAAAGAAGAAGAGGAUUUAAAGCAGUGCCUUUUCUUUUUCUAUUGGAGGAAGAGAAUACAUGGUGAAAGUUUAGGUAACGUCAUGAUCCAUUAAUCGUACCGAUAUAUUUCUCUACCACAACGACUUAUUUUAGACUGCUUUUUUUUUGGUCAAAACUGUUUUAGGCCCAUUUAAAAUGUGGAUCUGAGUGCUGCUUUGGAUGAGCCGGGCACUUGUGAAGAUGGUUUCAAAGAGAAGCACGCGAAAUCUCCCGUUACAAACGAGAACAAUGUUUUGUUUCAGAAGAUUUUGAUUCCUUUAGCUUUUACAAAUAUGCUCUGAUGAAAUUACCAUAACUUUUUGUAUUAUGUGAUAUGAUUUUUCCUUUAUCUAAUAAUAAAUAGCAGCAAAGGAACUUUAUUUUAUUGGAAAUUUUUGCUACUAUUUGAAAUUAUAAAACACUAAAAUAGUAUUUGCAAAAAGACAGAAAUUUAAAAUACUUUAUGUCUCUGAUCACAAUUUUCGACUUAACAUCGUUGACAAAUCGAUGAGUUGACGGUUUUCAACAUAUCACUGUCAUUGUCAAUGGUGAUAUUUUCUGAAAGUCGUCAUCGUCAUUAGUGAUAUGUCAGAAAUCAUUAUUAUCAACGAUGAUAUGUGAGAAAAUUUUUAAAAUAUUUUUUUCUGUAACUUUUUCAGUUUUCAAUCUUUUUUUAACUUAUUGAAAAAUUGUUUGAAUAUUUUGAUUUAUUUUUUAAUUUUCAAUUUUUUUUUGUUUUUGUGGAAUUAAACUUUUAUUUAAUUUUCUAUAGUGUCUGUAUUUUUUUAAUAAUUAAAUAUUUAUUUUUAAAAAUGCACAACAUCACUGUUUUUUACGAGUAGUACUGAUCAUUUUUUUGCGUGAUGAAUAAAUAAUGAGAUUGAAAGUUUUUCCUGAUACAGAUGUUAGUUAAAUAUUUAGUAAAUACACAUUUUUUGAUUUAGGAUUUUUGCAUGCCGACCUCUAUAUGAAAAAUUGAUGAGAAAAUCAAUAUUAAAAGGUAUAUUUUUGUUUUUUUAAUAAUUGUAGAAGACAUCUCAUUUUUUUUUAUAUUUUUGGUUCGCCUUCUAAUUUUUUUUUUUACCAGACCAAAAAAAAAAACAAGUGAAGGUCUGUCCUUAUAUCACAACCUUAGGGACCCGAUUUUUAAAAAUUAGUGAGACCCACCCAAUAUUUUAUUAGUUUUUGCUAAGGACCCUAUUGCUAAGACCCCCGGUUAAUGAUGGUCUAAAAGUUGACUAAAUCUGACGUGUAUAUAUGGAAAGCUAUUGUUACCUGUUGACCAAGUUCAGAUAAAUUUUUACAAUUUGAGAAAUAAUCCUUAAAAGUGAAUAUAUUAUGAUUUUUUAAAAAUUUAAAUCGAGUUCUUAAUAUGGAAUAGUAUAUUCUUAUUAAAACUGAAAUAUUUUUUUUAUGAUAAGUUCAUAACAAACAAGAAAACAGGAAAUAAUGACAUAUAAGAAAGGAGAAUAUAUACCCUUACAUCAGAUAUAUAUAUAUAUAUAUAUAACAGCCUCGUGAAUCACAAAGUUAACAUCGUAGUCAUCUCUUCUCAUCUCUAACAAAGAAAACAAAAGCAUGAAGUUCUUCGUUUCAGUUGUAAUGUUUUUUCUACUCUUAAACUGUUUCGCUGCCGCGCAAACCUUGAUUCGAGAUUCUUGCAAAACGGCUGCAGCAAAAGACCCUAAUCUCAAAUAUGAUUUUGAGAAAAUCAAUAUUAAAAGGUAUAUUUUUGUUUUUUAAUAACUGUAGAAGAGAUCUCAUUUUUGAUAUUUUAUGUAUGAUAUGGAAAGCUAAGAGCACAUGCAGUGGAAGAGUAACUCAUGAGACUGACAUUUAUAAUAAUAAAAAAUUAAUAAAGCAAGAGAGAGAGCGUCAAAUGGGAAGAAACGUCUGGUCGCACAUAGACUUUGCCACAUGUUACUUUACGAAUGGUUAUGUACAUAUUAUUGGUUUUAAUUUUAAUUACACAAUAAAACUCUAUUAAUAUUAAACUCAUCAGGUACUCCACUAAGAAAUUGAACCAGUAAUGAUGCUCUGAGAGUUGACUAAAUCUGACAACGUGUAUAUAUGGAAAACUAUUGUUACAUAUUGACCAGGUUCAGUUAAAUUGACAAUUUGAGAAAUAGUCCAAGUGAAUAUAUUAUAGUUUUUAAAAAUGUAAACAUAGUUCUUAAUAUGAAAUAGUAUCUUCUUAUUAAAACUGAAAUGUUCUUUUUUCAUAAGUUUAUAACACACAAGAAAACAGGAAACAAUGUAAAAGAAAAAUUAAUUAUAAAAUAAUUAAUUUCUUUUUUAAAAUCUAAAUAAAAUAAAUAUAUAAAAAUAAUCUUAUAUUUUCUUAUAACUAACAAAAUUUACUUUUUAAUAAUUUUGUGUUAAAAAAAUAUAAAUCAAAAUUAACUUCAAAUAUUUCACCUGAUAUGAUUGUGACAUGUGUCAAUUAAAAAAAUAUAUUGAAUGUGUCAAUAAAAACUGUCAUUAUGUGAAGAUAACUUCAUCUUUUUCUAAAAUCCUUAAUAAAAGAGAUUUCUAAAAAAAAAAUAUUUUCUAACCUUAACCAAUUAAGAAUUUUUUUUCCUUUAAAAAACAAAUCCUGACCAGAGAGAAUUAUAAAAUUUUAUUUCAUAGUAAUUUGUACUUAUAAAAAUUAAUGAUAAACAUGAUAGUAAAAAAAUAUUUAGUUAACAAGAAAAUUUGUAAAAAAAUAUUAGUGAUAUUGGAAAAAUGAAUUUUGAAAAUGGCAACAUUUAAAAAUAGUUAAUAUUACUGAAAAUAAUAAUUUGAUAGAAAUUUUAUUUUUCUAAAUCCUAAAAAAAAUAUAACUGUAAAAGGUUAUGAAAUAUUAAUUUCCUUUUAUAAAAUCCUAACCAAAAGAGAAUUGUAAAAAAUUAUUUGAUAAUAUUUUUAAGAGAGUAUUUGAUGAUGAACAUGAUACAAAAUAUUAUUUAAUUAAAAAAAGAAGUGUAAAAUUAGCUUUGAUACAAAAUGUAAAUUUUUUUAUUAGUAACUAAAAAUAAUUAUUUGAUAGCAAUUUUUUUUCUGAAAUUCUAUAGAGAAGAUAAUUGUAAUAGGUUAUAUGAUAGUAAUUUUCUUUUUCUAAAAUCUUAAACAAAAUUGUGAAAGAGUUUUUUUUUUAAUUGUAAAUAAAAACGAGAUUUAUAAAAUAGAAUGUUUUCCUUUUUAAAAACAAAUCCUAACAAAAUAAAAUUUUAAAGAAUUAUUUAAUAAAACAUUAAAUUAUUACAUAAGAACAUGUAUAAUGUUGUCAUUGACUCGAUUGGUGUAUUUGACUUUCAUUUCUUUUUACUUUUCAUUUAGUUUCUUAUUUUGGGUUGUGUUCAGUUUAAACUUUUAGAUAUAGUAUUUUAUCUAAUCCUAAGUACAAAGUUUAUAAAAAUUCAUCUACGUACCAUGACUAUAAAAUACAAAUAUUAGCUUAAACUUAUGUGUAAAAAUGAUUUUUAAUUAUAAAAUAAAUCUCAAACAACAUAUGCAAAAAACAAUCAUAAAACUAUAAUAAAAUUAUUUAUUAUUUUAUAGUUUUUAUUAACUUAAAACAUUACAUAAAACCCGUUGCAACGCAACGGGCACAUAUAUUGUACAAAAUAAAGCUAUUAACGAGAACUAAUCAUAUUUAUUCAUAACUUUUGUUUUGGUAAAACUCACUUAACACCCUAUUCCUUAAUUAGGCUCUAUAAGGGGCCUGCAGCUCCACUAAACUUGGUAGUGGGCAUUCAGGUACCUAUUCAGAUCGGUUCCGGUUUGUUCAGGUUUUAGAUUUUCAGAGUUAAAGAUUUUAACCACAUUCGGAUAUUAAUUAAUUUUAGUUCGGUUAGGUUCUUUACGAGUAUGAUUCGGGUUCGGAUUACUCGUUUAAAUUAUAAUUAAAAAUUUUAAAUUCAUUUGUACUUUAAAUUUCUCAAAUUUAAAAAUAUAGCAAUAUAUAACAUAUAUACUUGAAUAAUGUAUGCUAAAAUACCUAAACUUAACAUAAAAAUUGGUUUGGUUUCAAGAUUUGGAUGAAUAAUCAGUAGAUAUUUUAAGUAAUUUUGAUGUUGUGAGGUUUUUUUGCUAUUUUAAAUAUUUACUUUUGACUAUUUGUAUAUAUUUUUAAGUAUAUUGGAAAACUUCAAAAUAUCUUAUAUAUUUUAUAUAUAUUUUGAAUAUUAAAUUUAAAAAUAACUAAUAUAUUGAAUUAUAAAUUUAAUGCGGAUAUAUUCAGAUACCAAAAUAUUUCGGUUCGGAUCGGAUUCGGUUCUAGUUCUCUAAUUAUCAAAAUUUUGAACCUUUUCAUAUAUGUAACCAAUUUUGGUACGGUUCGAUACUACUUUCCGAAUCGGAUUCGGUUCUUCGAAUUCUGGUUUUUUUCACAACCCUAACUAAAGUAGUUUGACAGCUAUUUUAAUGCGUGUAGAUGAGUAAUGCUAUUAAACGAGUAAGAAAGUCGAUAACAACAUAGACAUCAUUCUCUUUUCUCAGGGGAGAUAUAUGUUAAUUCUCGCCGUUAAAUGACAAUUCACAAAUUACGAGUCCAUCCAUCUCUUACCUUCUUGAGAACAUGUGAGGCCUUAUCCUAUUUUCACGCUUUCAGGUAUUCAAAGCUGAGGUUACGAGUGAUAGCCAUCUGAGUGAGUCUUAAGACAAUCUUCCAAAAACUUCUUACUACUCUUAAAUCUCUUCUCUUUAUAAUCUUCCCUCCAAUUCUUUUCAUGUUCGUAAGGUUUGCUAUAGCGUUUUACGUACCUACCAGGGUCAAUCAUUGAUAUUUUUCACUUUCUGGCUCUCGGGAUUCUCUUUGAAAUAUGCGAUGCAAAACUUAUAGAAUUCUUCGGUGUCUAACGGCAACGGGGUUCUAAUUAAAUUGGAAAUAUACUUGCAUUUUUUUUUUUGAUUAAUAGAAGCUGCCUCUUUGUUGGCUGUUAAACCACUGAAGAUAAGAACAUGGGCGGAUCUAGGAUCAAAUAUAAUUGGGGGUACAUACACAAAUUUUCACUAUACAUAUUUUUUUUAAUUGGGGGCACUUGUUCCAAAAUAAAGCUAAUCGUUAAAGAAAUACAAAAGUAGACGGCGUCCUCUCUCCAGAACGAACACAACGAGGUAAAUCAACAACAUUGUGUAUUGUUUGAAGAGUUAUAUACGGUCACUAAUGAAUGAUCGAAUUUAUAAGCAAACAAAACCUAUUUUUCUGCAUGUUUUUUUUUUGAAACUUUUCAUGUUCUAUAUUUUUCUUCAAAUAUUUUUCGAAUCAGAGAAUCUGACACUCUGUUGGCCAUGAAACGGUUUAUGAGGAGAAAGAACACAACACAUGCGUUCUUUUAGAUGGCUCAUCAUGUCAUGCGUUACCACUCCACUUCGUCGAAUUUCGUACUACCUUGAACAUGAGUGUUAUACAAACACAUGCUUUUCUAAUUAUCUAUAAGAGGUAUGUUUAUAAUACAAACGCACUAGAUGAUAACUCUUGCGCAUGCGCGGAAUGAAUUCAUAUAAUAAUGUUUGUUUAUGAAAUGAUUUUAACAUUUUGCAACACUACAAUUUUUAUCGAUUAUAAAAUGAUGAAUACAAAUGUUGGUCUCUUAAAUAUAUCAUUGUUGUUGAAAAGUUAACGUAUUACAUCUCAUUUCAAUUAUUUAUAAGAUUUCAUAUGCACAAAAGAAAAUUAAGUUUUGCGGCUGACACAAAUCACGAAAACAAAAUAAAAAACAUUGAUUGUAUAAUGACGAAAGGGGAUUAGGUUUUCUGCUCUCGAUUUGUUUACUAUUGACUCUCCAUAAGUGAUUUCAUUUUCUACCUCUAUAGAAUUGUGCUUUCGUGUUCGUCUUUGUUUCAUUGAUAUGAAUUAAGUUUCUUUUUUUAACUUCUUUCAUGAAUUCAGUGAAUUAUAUAAGUGUCAAUUAAAAAAAAAUGAACAUAUGUAAAAAAUUAGUUUCACUCCAUAUACAUAUCUAAGAGUCAAAAUUUUGAAAAAAAUCACCGGCAAACUAUAUUAACAGGCUAGUGUCCAAAUCUAAUAUAUCAACCGGUUUUAGAAUAUAAAUGCAGACUUGAAAUAUAAAUAUUUGUCUAGUAUAUAUUCAUCAGCUUGGUCUAAAAAUCAUCUAAUUAGAACAAUAAAAAAAAUUAUUUAUUUCACCAGUUCGGGUAAAAUUUGAAUCAGAACGGUAAUAUCCGAAUUCGAAUGGGUAUCCAAAGAUAACCAAACAUAAGUAUACUUAACUCUAUAUUUCUAGUUUAUUUCUCUCAUUUUAUUCAAAAUAUUUAUAUUAAUGAUUCUUAUUUCUCAAAAUUAGAUAAUAUACAAACAAUUAUGGACAAAAUCAUUUGCUACUCACUUAAAAUACAUAUCAAGUUCUUUUUUCUUGCAUUAAUAAAAGUUGCAUCUAAAUUUUCAAAACAACAACUAAAUUAUCGUCUUUAUAUUUUUAAAGUUUUAUCUCCAAACCUAUUAAUAGUUUAUUCUCUUAAAAUUAAAAAAAAAAUAGUUAAGUUAAAAUAUAUUUUAAAUACAAAAAACUUAAACAAUGAAUAAUUUAUUUUAUUUUUUUCAAAAUUUAAAUAUCUGAACCUGACCCAAAAUAUCUGAACCUGAACAUAAAAUACCCGAACCCGACUCGAAGUGUAGAAAUACCCGAACGGAUAUACCUUUAUACUGAAAUAUCCGAUACAAACCCGAACGUAUUUUUUGAACGUCAACCCCUAUGAUAUAUGAUCAUUUGUAUCUUGCUUGGACAAAAAAAAGUUAAACCAUUGAUCACAAAAUUUUUAAUGGGGGACUUUUACAAUUUUUAGUAAUUUAUAAUCGUUUUAAAAAAUUCAAAAUAUAACAUAUAAGAAAAAUUCUAAUUGUUUUUAUUAUAUGCUUAACAUGAUUGUUUAAUUUAUUUUAAUAGUAUAAAAUUGAACAAAAAAGAAAAGAGGUUAGAAGUUUUUUUUAUCAAAUAUGUAUUAUUCAUAAUCAUUAAUUGUGAUAUAUAUGUUAACCAUAUUGGGUAAUUUUGUAGCUUUUAUUUAAGGAUAGAAAAAAUAUUCUUUUGUACACUAGUAAUUAAUUUGAUAGUUAGAUUAAUAAAAAACAUAGUAUAUGUUUAUAUAGACCAACUUAUUUUUCUAACAAUUCUAAGAAUCAUUCUCAUGAUGACACGUGGCUACGAAAACAUGUUGUAAUGCUCCAACAUUAAUAUAUAGGGGAUGAUUUUAAAAAAUAUUAUAUUUAAAAUUGAGAGGUGUCGGAAGAACAAACUCUUUCAAGAAUAUGUUUUUUUGGAUAGUUAAUUGUUUAAAGAAAAUUUAGAAGUUAAGAGUAGAGAAACUAUUUGAAAUAUCCAAGUUAAAUUCAUGCUAUCUAGAUGAAACUUGUAAAAAUGCUUUAGAGGUUGAGUUAUUCUUGGGUUCACCCCUAGGGUGAACCUCUAGGUUCAUCAACCAAUAGAUUUCAUUAUUUCAAAUUUGAUAUCUUUUAAAAAACGAAACAAAAUAUUGGCAAGUUAUAUUAUGUUUUUAAAAUUAAAAAAAAUAAGAAAAUAAUAGUUUCAGAAAAAAGAAUUAAAAAAACUUUUUUUAACGUCGUCAGCAAAACACUAAACCCUAAAUCCUAAUCCCUAAACCCUAAAUCCUAAUCCCUAAACCCUAAACCCUUGGGUAAACUCUAAACCCUUGGGUAAACUCUAAAUCCUUGGGUAAACCCUAAACUCUUGGAUAAAUCCUAAACUCUAUAAACAAAAACAUUGAACCUUAAAAAUCUAAACCCUAAACCCUAAACCCUAAAUCCUAAACCCUAAACCCUUGAGUGUUUUAGUGUUUAAUGAUUUUAAUUUAAAGUUUAAGAAUUAUCCUAGAGUUUAGGGUUUACUCAAGGGUUUAGAAUUUAGGGUUUCGGAUUUAAGGUUUAGGGUUUAGGAUUCAGGGUUUAAUGUUUUGCUGACGACGUUAAAAAUAUUUUUUUUUUGUAAUUACUACUAUUUUUUAUUUAUUUAUUUAUACAUUUUAAUUUAAAAAAAAUAAUAUAAUUUGACAAUAUUUUGUUUCUUUUUUUAAAAGAUAUCGAAUUUGAAAUAAUGAAAUCAUAUUGGAUGGUGAACCUAGAGGUUCACCCCCUAAGGUGAACAUCUAGGUUCACCAGCCAAUAUGGUUGUGUUAUUUCAUAUUCGAUAUCUUUUAUAAAAGGAAACAAAAUAUUGGCAAGUUAUAUUAUAUUUAUAAAAUAAAAAGAUAAAUAAAAAAUAGUAGUAAUUACAAAAAAAAUAUUUUUAACGUCGUCAGGAAAAAACUAAACCCUAAACCCUAAAUCCUAAAUCCUAAAACCUUAAUCCUAAAACCUAAAUCCUUGGGUAAACCCUAAAUCCUUGGAUAAAUCCUAAACUCUAAAUCAAAAACACUAAAAACUUUAGGAUUUAGAAUUAAGGGUCUAGGGUUUAGGGUUUAGUGUUUUAGUGUUUAGUGUUUAGUGUUUUGAUUUAGAGUUUAUGAUUUAUCCAAGGGUUUAGGGUUUACCCAAGAGUUUAGGGUUUCAGAUUUAGGGUUUAGGGAUUAGGUUUUAAGGUUUAGUAUUUUGCUGACGACGUUAGAAAUAUUUUUUUUUAAAUUCGUUUUUCUGUAACAACUAUUUUUUUUUUACCUUUUUAUUUUAAAAACAUAAUAUAACUUGGCAAUAUUUUGUUUUCUCUUCUAAAAUAUAUUGAAUUUGAAAUAAUAAAAUCCUGCUGGUUGGUGAAUAACUCGAUAACGAAUUAAUAAAAAGUGGCUUUGAAAACUUUUAAGGCUUUAUAAUCUAAAAAUGAAUAAUAAAUAUAUUCUAAAGCCAUAAGUUGCUGGCUUAAAGAAAAAAUCAACAUAACACGUUAAAACAACAAAAAGUGGGCUGUGAGAAAUUUUACAAAGACUUUGAGGAUUUUUAAAAAAUUUAAACGUGAUUGGAAAAAACUAAACUUUGAAGACUUUAGAAAGAAGUCAAGCUUCUCGCUAGAAACUGUAAGUAUGUGCAUGCAACAUUGCAUGUCACUGCAGAAGCAUAAGUUUGCAAUGUUGUUUAGAGAUCAAGAUCAAUGAUGCUUAAGCGUAAGAUUUGCUCUUCUAAGUUUACUUACUCAAAGCUUGUAUUUUCCUCGUUGUCAGUCAUGAGAAAAACUGUAGACGGCACGAUUUUGGCAGGACCACAAGUGUAAGCAAGCCCAGGACCAAGCAACUUGAAGUUCUUUUUUUUUUUAUAAAAGUAAGCUUGAAGUUCUUUGGAAGCUUAAUAGUUUUGUUCGUAGUUCCAGCCAAACCAACACUAACCUGAAACUGUGAUACAGCGGAUGAUGGAUCUUGACCCCAAGCUCUAACUACCUGGCGUUUGCAACAGUUUGAGAACUGUUGAUUAUAAGGGACACCUGGCAAGAGAUCAACGACACUUGGGGUUUUCUUACAGCAAUGAGGUACGUUUCCCUUGCUAGUACUAAGAAUUGUUGUUUCCAAGUGUGUAAGACCUUGACAUGAACCAACCAACUUGAUUUAUAAGUCUUCAAAUCUUUAAUCGCAGUAAUUUUCAUAUUAGCAGCCAUAGAGAUGUCUUGUUGGUAGUGGUUUGUUUAUGAAGCGUUCUAGGUAACCAUAUUUAUAAUAACAAUGGGAAAACACGUUUAGGUAUUUAGGUUCGUAUUUUUAGGGAUACCUUGGAGAAUAUUCUGAAUCGUAUCUCGAAGGAUUUUCAAAAUUAAAAUAUACUUCCUCUGUUCUCGAAAGUAAGAUUUUAUAAAGUGUUCACGUUUAUUAAGAAUUCAAUAAAUUUUUAUAAUUAAAAUUUUCUUUUACUUUAUUAUGCAAUUUUCAAUAACUUUUCACCAAUGAAAUUUAAUCAGUUCAAAUAUUUUCAUUUAAUGUUUCUUAAAAGUAUAAAAAGUAUCUUAAAUAUAUAGAAAAUCUAUCUUUGUGGAACAAAUAAAAAAUCUAAAACAUCUUACUUUCGGGAACGGAGAAAGUAGUUAAUAUUGUGGAUUAUAUUUUAACGAUGAGACAAAUUAGGUGACCAUAAUUUAGAAAAUCGUUUUAAAUAUAUUCAUAUUCUCGGUUAUUGCUAUAAAUGAUUAUGAUUGUUACCAAAGCUAAUAAUUAUAGAGUUAGCUAAAAGCUUCAAAAAUAAUCAACAUGUAUAUUGUUUUCAUAUAUUAAUUGUAUCUAGCAGAUUGUUUAGUUUGUUUGUAUUAAAUGAUACUAGGUUCUUUCUCC